AGUAAACCCAACAUCCCGAGUCACAUUUUGCAUAUGCAAUCACAUCACAAGAAAUACACAUGCUGUGCACAAUGGGACAAAAAAAGCAAGCGAGAGACAGAUCGAGAGGAAGAGAGGGAGAGAGAGAGACAGAAAAAGAGAGAGAGAACAAACCUACAGUAUGUUAUUGAAGCGAUCCAGACUGGUACUGCUACAGCAAGCAACAAUCCCAUUGCUCAUAUUGUGCAGAUAUCAUCUGAG
Pelobates cultripes (western spadefoot toad) is the source of this 240-nucleotide non-coding RNA. The record is from the annotation of a GenBank genome assembly. NCBI's taxonomy places the organism in Eukaryota, Metazoa, Chordata, Amphibia, Anura, Pelobatidae.